GACCUUCUUUUCACACAUUUCACAUGUUCCCCUGCUACAUAAACCUUAAAAAUAACUCCACCAUGAUUAACAAACUCCUGUAAUACGAUUGGCGGUUUCAGUUCUUCUAGUCCUUCUGGUUUUAAAACUAAAUACAUUUGGUGUGAAUCAGCUCACGAUUGGUGGUUUCAGUUCUUCUAGUCCUUCUGGUUUUAAAACUAAAUACAUUUGGUGUGAAUCAGCUGUCCCAUUAGCAAUUAAAGGCUUAGCAAUAACGGGGAAAUCCAACCCUUGACGCGUGAUAUGGUCCAAGAGAGAAUCAGAAUUUUCUUGAAUAAAAAUCUGAAGAGGGACUCCAAUAGUUUCUUUUUCUUUAGUGAUUUUUAAUUCGUUAACAACUUCAAGCAUUGAAAUUCGGUUGUGGAGUUUUUCUAUAGCAUCAAUAGGAUCUAUUAUGAUGGUGGUUGGGUUGUGAAGGGAAAAUUCUUCCAACUGUUUCCUCCAUUCAGGACCAUAUAGCUUGUGGAAAAUACAAUCAAAAGGACCUUGUUCGAUUAAUGGUAUAUUCAGAUCAAUUGGGAUUAGAUCAAUACCUUGUUGUUGGGCAUGCUUGACGAGGGAAUCUUGAAUAAAGCUGCUUACUUUCUUUGGUGCAAGUACAUAACCAAAGCGAAAUCUCCUUUCUGACAUGGCUGUCAAUCGAGAGAUGCGAGCAACGAGGGGAUGUACUAAAUUAGCAAAUGUUAAGGAGAGGGAUUUUAACUUAAGGACUAAGGAAGCUGACUAUACGAUAAAGACAGAUCCCUUUUUUGAGUGUUUCUCGGAUUGCGCAAAAAAGUAGCGGGACGCGUGGCACGUUGCCGACUCCGAGGACGAACAUCAACGCAC
RNAcentral lists this long non-coding RNA (867 nucleotides) under Nicotiana benthamiana. RNAcentral's name for it is "long non-coding RNA (NBEN_LNC020798)". The record is from RNAcentral. Lineage: Eukaryota; Viridiplantae; Streptophyta; Magnoliopsida; Solanales; Solanaceae.